Molecule: ribosomal RNA, 640 nt
Filed under: uncultured fungus
Lineage: Eukaryota; Fungi
Description: eukaryotic LSU rRNA
Rfam family: 5.8S ribosomal RNA (bases 266-417)
Source: RNAcentral
CUUGGUCAUUUAGAGGAAGUAAAGUCGUAACAAGGUUUCCGUAGGUGAACCUGCGGAAGGAUCAUUACCAGUUAGGGUUCGUCCAACGAGCCCGACCUCCCAACCCUUUGUCUAUUUUCCUUGUCGUUGCUUCGGCGGACCGGUCGCGACCAACUGGCCGUGGCCGCGGGGGGUCCACCCCCUGGAGAGCGUCCGCCGAUGGCCCAACCACAAACUUUGUACCAAACCAUGUCGUCUGAAUUACUUGAUUAAAAUCAAAAAAACAAACUUUCAACAACGGAUCUCUUGGUUCUGGCAUCGAUGAAGAACGCAGCAAAUGCGAUAAGUAAUGCGAAUUGCAGAAUUUCCGUGAGUCAUCGAAUCUUGAACGCACAUUGCGCCCACUGGUAUUCCGGUGGGCAUGCCUGUUCGACGUCAUUAUCCUCCCUCAAACCUCGGGUUUGGUGUUGGACCCGAGUUGUUGAACAACUGGUCUCAAAGACAAUGACGGCGUCCGUGGGACCCUCGGUGAACGAGCUUUUAAACGAGCACGCGUCGAGUUUCAAGGACCUUCCGGGCCGUCUCCUUCUUUUAUUUACAAAGGUUGACCUCGGAUCAGGUAGGAAUACCGCUGAACUUAAGCAUAUCAAUAAGCGGAGGA